GGUUCGAUGGUGUAGUUGGUUAUCACGUCUGUCUCACAUUAGUCGACCUGGUUGUGGUCGCGUGCACACAGGAGGUCUCCGGUUCGAACCCGGGUCGAACCA
Trametes elegans is the source of this 102-nucleotide non-coding RNA. The record is from the annotation of a GenBank genome assembly. Lineage: Eukaryota; Fungi; Basidiomycota; Agaricomycetes; Polyporales; Polyporaceae.